This 301-nucleotide long non-coding RNA is filed under the name Elaeis guineensis (African oil palm). RNAcentral describes it as "long non-coding RNA (EGUI_LNC078600)". Lineage: Eukaryota; Viridiplantae; Streptophyta; Magnoliopsida; Arecales; Arecaceae. The record is from RNAcentral.
GCCUCGGCCUUCUUUCUUUUCUCCUCCAAGGUGGCCUUUAGAUCUGUCCAGGUUUGUUCCUCCUUCCACAGUGCCUCUUGGAGACUUGCAACUUCGGCAACCUUCUCCUUAAGGCGGGCAACCUCAGCCUGGCAACCUUCCUCCACCUGGACUGCUUCCUUCUUGGCAUUGUUCAUCGCCUCAAUGUUGGCGACGAGCUGGUGUCCAAUCUGCAAGAGCAGCCAGGGAGUCAAUAUGAAAGCUAAGAAAUGAACUAAGUGAAAAAGCGAAAGGAGAAAAAAAGUAAAUCAGCCUACCUCAA